Mastomys coucha (southern multimammate mouse) is the source of this 130-nucleotide small nucleolar RNA. RefSeq annotates it as small nucleolar RNA SNORA17. Lineage: Eukaryota; Metazoa; Chordata; Mammalia; Rodentia; Muridae. The transcript has a single exon. The record is from RefSeq and is a predicted model, not a curated record.
CCUGUGUCUAGAGGCAUUGCAGGUGUUGCUGAUCUUUCACAUGUGUGUCAGUAGGUGGCUGAGAAGAGAAAGGCGAUGACUGCUCAGUGUUCUGACCCAUGGAUAGUUGAACAAUUAGUAGCCUAUCAUU